Molecule: long non-coding RNA, 396 nt
Organism: Homo sapiens (human)
Lineage: Eukaryota; Metazoa; Chordata; Mammalia; Primates; Hominidae
Gene: EDRF1-AS1
Product: EDRF1 antisense RNA 1
Source: Ensembl
GAGGCACUGGAGACAAAGAUCAGCCACGUGGCAGUCAACCAUGUCUAUCUGACCAAGUUCCAAUGAAAACUCUGGACACCAAGGCUUGGGUGAGCUUCCGCAGUUGUACAUGUAUUGAUUGAUACACUUGGUGAGCACUGUCAUGCAUCACUGCCGGGGAGAUAUUUCUCAAAAGACUCCUCUGCGGGAGAGGAGAAUAGAGAAAGAAAGAAAACAACUGUGUAAGCAGACAUCAGUGUAAACCUUAGCACUGUCUCUUGAUGAGAUAAGAGGAGGAUGGCAGUGACAGGAGUGUGGUGGCGAGCCAGUCACCUGCAGUCAACCACGGCUCAUUGCUCUCACCAUGCCUGUUACAUGAAGGUAUGUAUGUAUAGGAAAAAGCACUGAAAAACUCUC